RNAcentral lists this ribosomal RNA (2760 nucleotides) under Salmonella enterica. RNAcentral's name for it is "partial 23S ribosomal RNA". It matches the Rfam family "Bacterial large subunit ribosomal RNA". Lineage: Bacteria; Pseudomonadati; Pseudomonadota; Gammaproteobacteria; Enterobacterales; Enterobacteriaceae. The record is from RNAcentral. RNAcentral also lists the same sequence under 1 other name.
AAUCCAUAGGUUAAUGAGGCGAACCGGGGGAACUGAAACAUCUAAGUACCCCGAGGAAAAGAAAUCAACCGAGAUUCCCCCAGUAGCGGCGAGCGAACGGGGAGGAGCCCAGAGCCUGAAUCAGCAUGUGUGUUAGUGGAAGCGUCUGGAAAGGCGCGCGAUACAGGGUGACAGCCCCGUACACAAAAGCGCAUGUGCUGUGAGCUCGAUGAGUAGGGCGGGACACGUGGUAUCCUGUCUGAAUAUGGGGGGACCAUCCUCCAAGGCUAAAUACUCCUGACUGACCGAUAGUGAACCAGUACCGUGAGGGAAAGGCGAAAAGAACCCCGGCGAGGGGAGUGAAAAAGAACCUGAAACCGUGUACGUACAAGCAGUGGGAGCACAGGUUUACCUGUGUGACUGCGUACCUUUUGUAUAAUGGGUCAGCGACUUAUAUUCUGUAGCAAGGUUAACCGAAUAGGGGAGCCGGAGGGAAACCGAGUCUUAAUUGGGCGUUAAGUUGCAGGGUAUAGACCCGAAACCCGGUGAUCUAGCCAUGGGCAGGUUGAAGGUUGGGUAACACUAACUGGAGGACCGAACCGACUAAUGUUGAAAAAUUAGCGGAUGACCUGUGGCUGGGGGUGAAAGGCCAAUCAAACCGGGAGAUAGCUGGUUCUCCCCGAAAGCUAUUUAGGUAGCGCCUCGUGAAUUCAUCUCCGGGGGUAGAGCACUGUUUCGGCUAGGGGGCCAUCCCGGCUUACCAACCCGAUGCAAACUGCGAAUACCGGAGAAUGUUAUCACGGGAGACACACGGCGGGUGCUAACGUCCGUCGUGAAGAGGGAAACAACCCAGACCGCCAGCUAAGGUCCCAAAGUCAUGGUUAAGUGGGAAACGAUGUGGGAAGGCCCAGACAGCCAGGAUGUUGGCUUAGAAGCAGCCAUCAUUUAAAGAAAGCGUAAUAGCUCACUGGUCGAGUCGGCCUGCGCGGAAGAUGUAACGGGGCUAAACCAUGCACCGAAGCUGCGGCAGCGACACUGUGUGUUGUUGGGUAGGGGAGCGUUCUGUAAGCCUGCGAAGGUGGCCUGUGAGGGUUGCUGGAGGUAUCAGAAGUGCGAAUGCUGACAUAAGUAACGAUAAAGCGGGUGAAAAGCCCGCUCGCCGGAAGACCAAGGGUUCCUGUCCAACGUUAAUCGGGGCAGGGUGAGUCGACCCCUAAGGCGAGGCCGAAAGGCGUAGUCGAUGGGAAACGGGUUAAUAUUCCCGUACUUGGUGUUACUGCGAAGGGGGGACGGAGAAGGCUAUGUUGGCCGGGCGACGGUUGUCCCGGUUUAAGCGUGUAGGUGUGUGUUCCAGGUAAAUCCGGUUCACUUUAACACUGAGGCGUGACGACGAGGCACUACGGUGCUGAAGCAACAAAUGCCCUGCUUCCAGGAAAAGCCUCUAAGCAUCAGGUAACAUCAAAUCGUACCCCAAACCGACACAGGUGGUCAGGUAGAGAAUACCAAGGCGCUUGAGAGAACUCGGGUGAAGGAACUAGGCAAAAUGGUGCCGUAACUUCGGGAGAAGGCACGCUGACACGUAGGUGAAGUGAUUUACUCAUGGAGCUGAAGUCAGUCGAAGAUACCAGCUGGCUGCAACUGUUUAUUAAAAACACAGCACUGUGCAAACACGAAAGUGGACGUAUACGGUGUGACGCCUGCCCGGUGCCGGAAGGUUAAUUGAUGGGGUCAGCGCAAGCGAAGCUCCUGAUCGAAGCCCCGGUAAACGGCGGCCGUAACUAUAACGGUCCUAAGGUAGCGAAAUUCCUUGUCGGGUAAGUUCCGACCUGCACGAAUGGCGUAAUGAUGGCCAGGCUGUCUCCACCCGAGACUCAGUGAAAUUGAACUCGCUGUGAAGAUGCAGUGUACCCGCGGCAAGACGGAAAGACCCCGUGAACCUUUACUAUAGCUUGACACUGAACAUUGAGCCUUGAUGUGUAGGAUAGGUGGGAGGCUUUGAAGUGUGGACGCCAGUCUGCAUGGAGCCGACCUUGAAAUACCACCCUUUAAUGUUUGAUGUUCUAACGUGGACCCGUUACCCGGGUUGCGGACAGUGUCUGGUGGGUAGUUUGACUGGGGCGGUCUCCUCCUAAAGAGUAACGGAGGAGCACGAAGGUUGGCUAAUCCUGGUCGGACAUCAGGAGGUUAGUGCAAUGGCAUAAGCCAGCUUGACUGCGAGCGUGACGGCGCGAGCAGGUGCGAAAGCAGGUCAUAGUGAUCCGGUGGUUCUGAAUGGAAGGGCCAUCGCUCAACGGAUAAAAGGUACUCCGGGGAUAACAGGCUGAUACCGCCCAAGAGUUCAUAUCGACGGCGGUGUUUGGCACCUCGAUGUCGGCUCAUCACAUCCUGGGGCUGAAGUAGGUCCCAAGGGUAUGGCUGUUCGCCAUUUAAAGUGGUACGCGAGCUGGGUUUAGAACGUCGUGAGACAGUUCGGUCCCUAUCUGCCGUGGGCGCUGGAGAACUGAGGGGGGCUGCUCCUAGUACGAGAGGACCGGAGUGGACGCAUCACUGGUGUUCGGGUUGUCAUGCCAAUGGCACUGCCCGGUAGCUAAAUGCGGAAGAGAUAAGUGCUGAAAGCAUCUAAGCACGAAACUUGCCCCGAGAUGAGUUCUCCCUGAGACUUAGAGUCUCCUGAAGGAACGUUGAAGACGACGACGUUGAUAGGCCGGGUGUGUAAGCGCAGCGAUGCGUUGAGCUAACCGGUACUAAUGAACCGUGAGGCUUAACCUUACAACGCCGAAG